GUGCCAGCAGCCGCGGUAAUUCCAGUCUCCAAUAGCGUAUAUUAAAGUUGUUGUGGUUAAGAAGCUUUAAGGUGAACCUUGGGCCUGGCUGGCCGGUCCGCCUCACCGCGUGCACUGGUCCGGCCGGGCCUUUCCCUCUGUGGAACCCCAUACCCUUCACUGGGCGUGGCGGGGAAACAGGACAUUUACUUUGAAAAAAUUAGAGUGCUCCAGGCAGGCCUAUGCUCGAAUACAUUAGCAUGGAAUAAUAAAAUAGGACGCGCGGUUCUAUUUUGUUGGUUUAUAGGACCGCCGUAAUGAUUAAUAGGGACAGUCGGGGGCAUCAGUAUUCAACUGUCAGAGGUGAAAUCCUUGGAUCAGUUGAAGACUAACUACUGCGAAAGCAUUUGCCAAGGAUGUUUUCAUUAAUCAGGAACGAAAGUUAGGGGAUCGAAGACGAUCAGAUACCGUCGUAGUCUUAACCAUAAACUAUGCCGACUAGGGAUCGGACGGUGUUACUCAUGACCCGUUCGGCACCUUACGAGAAUUCGAAGUGCUUGGGCUCCAGGGGGAGUAUGGGCGCAAGGCUGAAACUUAAAGAAAUUGACGGGAGGGGCAUCACCAGGGGUGGAGCCUGCGGCUUUAAUUGACCUCAACACGGGAAACUCACCAGGGCCCAACACAAUAAGGAUUGACAGAUUGAGAGCUCUUUCUUGAUUUUGGGGGUGGGGGGCAUGGCCGUUCUAGGUUGGUGGGGUGACUUGUCUUGCUUAAUUGCCGAUAACAGACCGAAACCUAACCUGCGCAAAAUAGACCGCAA
This 799-nucleotide ribosomal RNA is filed under the name uncultured fungus. RNAcentral's name for it is "SSU rRNA". It matches the Rfam family "Eukaryotic small subunit ribosomal RNA", at positions 564 to 1367 of the family's 1831-position model. The record is from RNAcentral. Lineage: Eukaryota; Fungi.